Long non-coding RNA from Balaenoptera acutorostrata (minke whale), 355 nucleotides. RefSeq lists it as uncharacterized. NCBI's taxonomy places the organism in Eukaryota, Metazoa, Chordata, Mammalia, Artiodactyla, Balaenopteridae. The transcript is spliced from 3 exons. The record is from RefSeq and is a predicted model, not a curated record.
GAAAAUAGAAAGCUCAUGGCUGAAAUCAGAAAUCACAAGAUGAAUUCAUCACUUGUCCAAAGACACUCAGCUGCUAAAAGAAGUCGUACUUUUAGAGGGCUGUUGAGGAGGAAGCUAUGAGAAGAGAACCGACGAGCGUGGCCCUGAUUUCGGCCUCGCGCAGAACACUCACCUUGGGACGCUCGGAGGGGCCCUGGUGGGCCGAGACGGAACCUGUGGAGGUUCAUACUGGUUUAGGGAAGCACAUUCAGAAAAUGACACUGGACAAGCUGGGAGGCCUCCGGUGACGUGGAGCCAUCUUCUUACCUGCGGGAAUGCUGGAUCCAGGAGUCGUCCACCGGCGGCGGUGCGGGCG